This 468-nucleotide ribosomal RNA is filed under the name uncultured bacterium. Its description in RNAcentral is "partial 16S ribosomal RNA". It matches the Rfam family "Bacterial small subunit ribosomal RNA", at positions 28 to 507 of the family's 1533-position model. The record is from RNAcentral.
GACGAACGCUGGCGGCGUGCUUAACACAUGCAAGUCGAACGGAAAGGCCCUGCUUUUGUGGGGUGCUCGAGUGGCGAACGGGUGAGUAACACGUGAGUAACCUGCCCUUGACUUUGGGAUAACUUCAGGAAACUGGGGCUAAUACCGGAUAGGAGCUCCUGCUGCAUGGUGGGGGUUGGAAAGUUUCGGCGGUUGGGGAUGGACUCGCGGCUUAUCAGCUUGUUGGUGGGGUAGUGGCUUACCAAGGCUUUGACGGGUAGCCGGCCUGAGAGGGUGACCGGCCACAUUGGGACUGGGAUACGGCCCAGACUCCUACGGGAGGCAAGAGUGGGGAAUAUUGCACAAUGGGCGGAAGCCUGAUGCAGCAACGCCGCGUGCGGGAUGACGGCCUUCGGGUUGUAAACCGCUUUCGCCUGUGACGAAGCGUGAGUGACGGUAAUGGGUAAAGAAGCACCGGCUAACUACGUG